Molecule: ribosomal RNA, 403 nt
Filed under: Verrucomicrobiota bacterium
Lineage: Bacteria; Pseudomonadati; Verrucomicrobiota
Description: Verrucomicrobia bacterium partial 16S ribosomal RNA
Rfam family: Bacterial small subunit ribosomal RNA
Source: RNAcentral
UGGGGAAUAUUGCACAAUGGGCGCAAGCCUGAUGCAGCAACGCCGCGUGAACGAUGAAGGUCUUCGGAUCGUAAAGUUCUGUUGCAGGGGAAGAUAAUGACGGUACCCUGUGAGGAAGCCCCGGCUAAGUACGUGCCAGCAGCCGCGGUAAUACGUAGGGGGCUAGCGUUAUCCGGAUUUACUGGGCGUAAAGGGUGCGUAGGUGGUCCUUCAAGUCGGUGGUUAAAGGCUACGGCUCAACCGUAGUAAGCCGCCGAAACUGGAGGACUUGAGUGCAGGAGAGGAAAGUGGAAUUCCCAGUGUAGCGGUGAAAUGCGUAGAUAUUGGGAGGAACACCAGUAGCGAAGGCGGCUUUCUGGACUGCAACUGACACUGAGGCACGAAAGCGUGGGUAGCAAACAGG